Molecule: small nuclear RNA, 19 nt
Filed under: Arabidopsis thaliana (thale cress)
Lineage: Eukaryota; Viridiplantae; Streptophyta; Magnoliopsida; Brassicales; Brassicaceae
Description: snRNA_04430
Source: RNAcentral
UUGGUCAUCGCGCUUGGUU